This 494-nucleotide ribosomal RNA is filed under the name uncultured bacterium. Its description in RNAcentral is "bacterial SSU rRNA". It matches the Rfam family "Bacterial small subunit ribosomal RNA", at positions 28 to 526 of the family's 1533-position model. The record is from RNAcentral.
AACGAACGUUGGCGGCGUGGAUUAGGCAUGCAAGUCGAACGAAUCCCAGGGGGCUUGCUCUCUGGGGGAAGUGGCGAAAGGGGCAGUAAGGCGUGGGCAACCCACCCCGAGGACCGGGAUAGCCAUCCUAACGGAUGGGUAAUACCGGGCGUGGUAGCGUGAGGGCAUCCUUGUGCUACAAAAUGAGUUUCGCCUCGGGACGGGCUCACGUGGUAUUAGCUUGUUGGUGAGGUAACGGCUCACCAAGGCCAAGAUGCCUAGCGGGUGUGAGAGCACGACCCGCGCCACUGGCACUGAGACACUGGCCAGACUCCUACGGGAGGCUGCAGUCGAGGAUCUUCGGCAAUGGGCGCAAGCCUGACCGAGCGACGCCGCGUGUGCGAUGAAGGCCUUCGGGUUGUAAAGCACUGUCGAGGGGGAGGAAAGCCCGCAAGGGUCUGACCUAUCCCUGGAGGAAGCACGGGCUAAGUUCGUGCCAGCAGCCGCCGUAACAC